AUUUAAACCAUCCCUUUGACUGUUUUUGGUCUUCUCUGGGUAAAAAUGCCCCACCUCUGCCACCUUGUCCUGCCCCUCCCCUCAGAUGCUGCAACUGCGGUGUGAGGUGGGGAGAGGGGUCCUGAGUGUGGGUCCUGGGCUUGGUCGGGGUGUGAGGUGGGGAGCGGAACCGUGAGUGUGGGUCCUGGGCUUGGCUGGGGUAUGAGGUGGAGAGUGGGGCCAUGAGCAUGGGUCCUGGACUUGGUUGGGGUGUGAGGUGGGGAGCGGAACCGUGAGCAUGGGCCCUGGGCGUGGCUGAGGUGUGAGGUGGGGAGAGGGGUCCUGAGCGUGGGUCCUGGACUUGGUCGGGGUGUGAGGUGGGGAGCGGGGCCAUGAGCGUGGGUCCUAGACUUGGUUGGGGUAUGAGGUGGGGAGCGGGGCCAUGAGUGUGGGUCCUGGGCUUGGCUGGGGUGUGAGGUGGGGAGCGGGGCCAUGAGUGUGGGUCCUGGGCUUGGCUGGGGUGUGAGGUGGGGAGCUGAACUAUGAGUGUGGGUCCUCCACUGUAGCAGAGAUGUUCUGCAAGCAGAGGAGGAGAGAAAACAAAGUCAAGUGAUCCAGCUCCC
RNAcentral lists this long non-coding RNA (602 nucleotides) under Homo sapiens (human). Its description in RNAcentral is "HSALNT0253535". The record is from RNAcentral. Lineage: Eukaryota; Metazoa; Chordata; Mammalia; Primates; Hominidae.